AACGCUGGCGGCAGGCUUAACACAUGCUAGUCGAACGACAUAGUGGCAGACGGGUGAGUAACGCGUGGGAACGUGCCUUUCACUACGGAAUAGCUCUUGGAAACGAGUGGUAAUACCGUAUACGCCCUCCGGGGGAAAGAUUUAUCGGUGAAAGAUCGGNCCGCGUUAGAUUAGUUUGUUGGUGGGGUAAUGGCCUACCAAGACUACGAUCUAUAGCUGGUCUGAGAGGAUGAUCAGCCACACUGGGACUGAGACACGGNCCAGACUCCUACGGGAGGCAGCAGUGGGGAAUCUUGCACAAUGGGGGAAACCCUGACGCAGCCAUGCCGUGUGAGUGAAGAAGGCCUUAGGGUUGUAAAGCUCUUUCAGAUGCGAAGAUGAUGACGGUUACAUUAGUAAGAAGCCCCGGCUAAAUUCGUG
This 420-nucleotide ribosomal RNA is filed under the name uncultured Alphaproteobacteria bacterium. Its description in RNAcentral is "bacterial SSU rRNA". It matches the Rfam family "Bacterial small subunit ribosomal RNA", at positions 32 to 507 of the family's 1533-position model. The record is from RNAcentral. Lineage: Bacteria; Pseudomonadati; Pseudomonadota; Alphaproteobacteria.